This 368-nucleotide ribosomal RNA is filed under the name uncultured bacterium. RNAcentral's name for it is "bacterial SSU rRNA". It matches the Rfam family "Bacterial small subunit ribosomal RNA", at positions 28 to 395 of the family's 1533-position model. The record is from RNAcentral.
GAUGAACGCUAGCGGCAGGCUUAACACAUGCAAGUCGAGGGGUAUAGUUCUUCGGAAUUAGAGACCGGCGCACGGGUGCGUAACGCGUAUGCAAUCUACCUUUCACAGAGGGAUAGCCCCAGAGAAAUUUGGAUUAAUACCUCAUAGUAUAGCAGUUUCGCAUGAAACCACUAUUAAAGUCACAACGGUGAAAGAUGAGCAUGCGUCCCAUUAGCUAGUUGGUAAGGUAACGGCUUACCAAGGCAACGAUAGGGGUAGGGUACCGUGAGAGGGAGAUCCCCCACACUGGUACUGAGACACGGACCAGACUCCUACGGGAGGCAGCAGUGAGGAAUAUUGGACAAUGGGCGCAAGCCUGAUCCAGCCAU